UACGAAGGGGGGCUAGCGUUGCUCGGAAUCACUGGGCGUAAAGGGCGCGUAGGCGGAUCUUUUAAGUCGGGGGUGAAAGCCCAGGGCUCAACCCUGGAAUUGCCUUCGAUACUGAAGAUCUCGAGGCCGGAAGAGGUAAGUGGAACUGCGAGUGUAGAGGUGAAAUUCGUAGAUAUUCGCAAGAACACCAGUGGCGAAGGCGGCUUACUGGUCCGGUUCUGACGCUGAGGCGCGAAAGCGUGGGGAGCAAACAGG
RNAcentral lists this ribosomal RNA (255 nucleotides) under uncultured bacterium. RNAcentral describes it as "partial 16S ribosomal RNA". It matches the Rfam family "Bacterial small subunit ribosomal RNA", at positions 524 to 776 of the family's 1533-position model. The record is from RNAcentral.